Long non-coding RNA from Tachysurus vachellii, 686 nucleotides. RefSeq lists it as uncharacterized. The transcript is spliced from 3 exons. The record is from RefSeq and is a predicted model, not a curated record. Lineage: Eukaryota; Metazoa; Chordata; Actinopteri; Siluriformes; Bagridae.
GUCAUCACGGCCCUGCCAGACGUACACGUCAACACAGCUUCUGCUGACCGGCAUCUGAGAACAAAGCAGGCGACAGUUCAACAGUUCCUCAGAGGUGGAAUCCUGCGUCAGCACGAUGAAAAUGACGGCUUUCCGUAUGUAAGAAUUAAGGGGAAAAGAAAAGCUGCCUUAGAGUUCCUCCCCCUUAGUCUGAGGGCAACCGUGGCACGCCAGGAAUGCUUUCCAGUUGCGUUUCGGUGCCGAGACACGUCCGGCUUGUGCAAGCGGCUUGUGAGAAUGAAAACAACAAUUCUCCUAUCAAUCAGACAAAAACACCUCCUCUGAGACUUCCAAGGAUUCUACUGAAAAGAUUAGCAGCCCUCCAGGGUGUUCUCUGCCUUCUACACUGAGUAUGCUGGCAGAGGCUUUUAGGUUCCCCACAAGCCUACAGUAUAUAGGAUAAACGUUACAGAAAAAUAGAUGGAUGGAUUCUGCAUCCAGAAGCUGUACCAGCUCCGAUCGACUUCAGUGUGAUGAAGAUUUUGGACCUCCACUGAGAUGAGGCAGACUCAGCGAAUCCUGAGGCAUCUAGAGAUUUACCAGCUCCAGUCAGACUCUGCGAUACUGCGAGGAGAUGCCAACUCCACGUGAUCUUUUGCAUCAAUACAACAUCUGUUUGACUGUAUAUUUAUAAUCACACCCUCCAG